RNAcentral lists this ribosomal RNA (245 nucleotides) under uncultured bacterium. Its description in RNAcentral is "partial 16S ribosomal RNA". It matches the Rfam family "Bacterial small subunit ribosomal RNA", at positions 524 to 768 of the family's 1533-position model. The record is from RNAcentral.
GACGAACCGUGCAAACGUUAUUCGGAAUCACUGGGCAUAAAGGGCGCGUAGGCGGCUUUCUAAGUCAGGGGUGAAAUCCGGCAGCUCAACUGUCGCAGUGCCUUUGAUACUGGAGAGCUCGAGGGAGGUAGGGGUCUGUGGAACUUCCGGUGGAGCGGUGAAAUGCGUUGAUAUCGGAAGGAACGCCGGUGGCGAAAGCGACGGACUGGAUCUCUUCUGACGCUGAGGCGCGAAAGCCAGGGGAG